AUUCUUACCUGGCAGGGGAGAUACCAUGAUCACAACCAUGGUCUUCCCAAGAAGAGGUUUACCCAUUGCACUCCGGAUAUACUGGCCACUGCAAUUUCUCCAAAUAUGGGGAACUCAAAUGCAUAAUUUAUGGUAAUGGGGGCCUGAGUUCAUGCUCUCCCCUG
Molecule: small nuclear RNA, 164 nt
Filed under: Chinchilla lanigera (long-tailed chinchilla)
Lineage: Eukaryota; Metazoa; Chordata; Mammalia; Rodentia; Chinchillidae
Description: U1 spliceosomal RNA (ENSCLAG00000020085.1)
Rfam family: U1 spliceosomal RNA
About the family: U1 is a small nuclear RNA (snRNA) component of the spliceosome (involved in pre-mRNA splicing). Its 5' end forms complementary base pairs with the 5' splice junction, thus defining the 5' donor site of an intron.
Source: Rfam by way of RNAcentral